AGGAGGAAGGGCGUAGCAAGCGACGAAAUGCUUCGUGGAGUUGAAAAUAAGCAUAGAUCCGGAGAUUCCCAAAUAGGUCAACCUUUUGAACUGCCUGCUGAAUCCAUGAGCAGGCAAGAGACAACCUGGUGAACUGAAACAUCUUAGUAGUGAGAGGAAAAGAAAGGAUAAUG
Non-coding RNA from Triticum aestivum (bread wheat), 173 nucleotides. Lineage: Eukaryota; Viridiplantae; Streptophyta; Magnoliopsida; Poales; Poaceae. The record is from Rfam.